CGGCGGAACUGCUGGCGCCCUAUAUCGGCGACAUCGCGGCUGAAGGUAUAAGCAAAACGCUGCGCACGGGUUCCGCUUUCCUGCGUAAAGGUCUGCUCCGUCAACAGCGCUACGCUGCCGAGGUGCUGACCGAAGAGUGGCGUAUGGCGCCGGGGCCUUUAGAAGUCGCCUGGUUUGCAGAAGAGACCGCGGCAGUUGAGCGCGCAGUUGAUGCGUUAACCAAACGGCUGGAAAAACUGGAGGGCAAAUGA
Molecule: small RNA, 251 nt
Filed under: Enterobacter hormaechei
Lineage: Bacteria; Pseudomonadati; Pseudomonadota; Gammaproteobacteria; Enterobacterales; Enterobacteriaceae
Description: Erse small RNA
Source: RNAcentral